This 253-nucleotide ribosomal RNA is filed under the name uncultured bacterium. RNAcentral describes it as "partial 16S ribosomal RNA". It matches the Rfam family "Bacterial small subunit ribosomal RNA", at positions 524 to 776 of the family's 1533-position model. The record is from RNAcentral.
GACGGAGGAGGCAAGCGUUAUCCGGAAUUAUUGGGCGUAAAGGGUACGUAGGCGGCUGGUCAAGUCUGGGGUCAAAGGCCACAGCUCAACUGUGGAAAGGCCCUGGAAACUGACCGGCUAGAGUGAGGUAGGGGUUGCGGGAAUUCCCGGUGUAGCGGCGAAAUGCGUAGAUAUCGGGAAGAACACCUGAGGCGGAAGCGCGCAACUGGGCCUCAACUGACGCUGAGGUACGAAAGCUAGGGGAGCGAAUGGG